This 322-nucleotide ribosomal RNA is filed under the name uncultured eukaryote. RNAcentral's name for it is "partial 18S ribosomal RNA". It matches the Rfam family "Eukaryotic small subunit ribosomal RNA", at positions 1470 to 1796 of the family's 1831-position model. The record is from RNAcentral.
CCCUUAGAUGUCCUGGGCCGCACGCGUGCUACACUGACGCCUACAGCGAGUACUUCCCAGCCCCGAGAGGUGGCUGGUAAUCAGCAAUAGGCGUCGUGAUGGGGAUAGAUCUUUGGAAUUAUGGAUCUUGAACGAGGAAUGCCUAGUAAGCGCAGGUCAUUAGCCUGCGCUGAUUAAGUCCCUGCCCUUUGUACACACCGCCCGUCGCUCCUACCGAUUUCGAGUGGUCCGGUGAAAUCUCGGGACGGCGGCUUGGUCGCUUGCGUCCGACUGCUGAAACUUGAUUAAACCAUAUCAUUUAGAGGAAGGUGAAGUCGUAACA